UCGAAUCCUGCCUAGCAGAAUGACCAGAGAA
Molecule: ribosomal RNA, 31 nt
Filed under: Myrceugenia schulzei
Lineage: Eukaryota; Viridiplantae; Streptophyta; Magnoliopsida; Myrtales; Myrtaceae
Also listed under: 40 other names
Description: partial 18S ribosomal RNA
Source: RNAcentral